UAGGGAAUCUUCGGCAAUGGGGGGAACCCUGACCGAGCAACGCCGCGUGAGUGAAGAAGGUUUUCGGAUCGUAAAGCUCUGUUGUUAAGGAAGAACGAGUGUGAGAAUGGAAAGUUCAUGCUGUGACGGUACUUAACCAGAAAGGGACGGCUAACUACGUGCCAGCAGCCGCGGUAAUACGUAGGUCCCGAGCGUUGUCCGGAUUUAUUGGGCGUAAAGCGAGCGCAGGCGGUUAGAAAAGUCUGAAGUGAAAGGCAGUGGCUCAACCAUUGUAGGCUUUGGAAACUGUUUAACUUGAGUGCAGAAGGGGAGAGUGGAAUUCCCUGUGUAGCGGUGAAAUGCGUCGAUAUAUGGAGGAACACCGGUGGCGAAAGCGGCUCUCUGGUCUGUAACUGACGCUGAGGCUCGAAAGCGUGGGGAGCGAACAGG
RNAcentral lists this ribosomal RNA (429 nucleotides) under Verrucomicrobiota bacterium. RNAcentral's name for it is "Verrucomicrobia bacterium partial 16S ribosomal RNA". It matches the Rfam family "Bacterial small subunit ribosomal RNA", at positions 355 to 776 of the family's 1533-position model. The record is from RNAcentral. Lineage: Bacteria; Pseudomonadati; Verrucomicrobiota.